GCCAGUGCUCUUACCUCUGAGCUCUGCUCCAGGCCAGGAGCAGUAACUCUGUGUGGAAAUUCAGAAGACUAACAUGCUUUGAGUGUCCAACUCGACAGCCUGAGAGGCCUGUGUAAGAGUCUGGGUAUGGCAUCACACCCCCAAGAAACCAUCUGGCGACAAAAGCUGGAGACGCUGGAACCCUUCUUUGGCGAAUGAUUCAUUCUAACAGGAAUGGACAAGUAUUUGGGGAUGACAGGACACUAUGGAUCUGCAGAGUGGGACUUUACCAAGUUCAGUUUGGAGCAUGCCACUUCUCUCUAUGCCAUCUGCUACUGAUCUUGCUGUGUUCAGUAGCUGAAAAAUAGAGUUCUGGUAUUUUCCUCAUGCCCAGUCAUACUGCUCGGAACGUCUGUUUGUCCCUACUGACCUAAUCACCAAGUUAGUGGAGUCGGUUAUUUUAGGAAUUUUAAUCUUUACAUAGAAGGGAAAGAAGGGCUGGAGUACAAGCCAAGGCAUUCUUACAACAGAGCACGGCUUCCUGCCAAGUUCCUACAUCCUUAUCCUCGUGAUCUGUGAAUGUGACCCACAUGGUGAGAAACAGCACUGUAUGGAUGGUUAAGUCAAGUUCGGAGGUGGCCACAGACACAAGAGCCUAUCCCCGUAGAGGACAGAGGCAAAGAGAGGUGUCACACACUAAGGGAGAAAGGCAGGGAGACCACAGAUGGAGCGAUUCUACCCAUGGGGCCAGCAGCCAGGGAGUGCUGACUGCUGCUAUCAGGAGCCCACCAAGACAAGAAACUGGUUCUCCUGAGCCCUGCUGAAGCUGUUUUUCCACCAGUGAGACUGAGUUUCCAGCCUCCACGCCGGGAGUGGUUACCCUCUGCUGUAUUCGGCCACCAAACCGUGGUCAGGCACAAGCAAAUAAAAGAGUAGCCUGUCCCUGAAA
Molecule: long non-coding RNA, 928 nt
Organism: Peromyscus eremicus (cactus mouse)
Lineage: Eukaryota; Metazoa; Chordata; Mammalia; Rodentia; Cricetidae
Exons: 3
Source: RefSeq, a predicted model, not a curated record